This 134-nucleotide ribosomal RNA is filed under the name uncultured bacterium. Its description in RNAcentral is "partial 16S ribosomal RNA". It matches the Rfam family "Bacterial small subunit ribosomal RNA", at positions 355 to 484 of the family's 1533-position model. The record is from RNAcentral.
UGGGGAAUUUUGCGCAAUGGGGGAAACCCUGACGCAGCAACGCCGCGUGAGUGAUGAAGGCCUUCGGGUCGUAAAGCUCUGUCAGAGGGGAAGAAAUGCAGGGGUGCUAAUAUCAUCUUGCUGACGUACCUCAA